Molecule: ribosomal RNA, 1343 nt
Filed under: uncultured bacterium
Lineage: Bacteria
Description: 16S ribosomal RNA
Rfam family: Bacterial small subunit ribosomal RNA
Source: RNAcentral
GACGAACGCUGGCGGCGUGCUUAACACAUGCAAGUCGAACGGAAAGGCCCUGCUUUUGUGGGGUGCUCGAGUGGCGAACGGGUGAGUAACACGUGAGUAACCUGCCCUUGACUUUGGGAUAACUUCAGGAAACUGGGGCUAAUACCGGAUAGGAGCUCCUGCUGCAUGGUGGGGGUUGGAAAGUUUCGGCGGUUGGGGAUGGACUCGCGGCUUAUCAGCUUGUUGGUGGGGUAGUGGCUUACCAAGGCUUUGACGGGUAGCCGGCCUGAGAGGGUGACCGGCCACAUUGGGACUGAGAUACGGCCCAGACUCCUACGGGAGGCAGCAGUGGGGAAUAUUGCACAAUGGGCGGAAGCCUGAUGCAGCAACGCCGCGUGCGGGAUGACGGCCUUCGGGUUGUAAACCGCUUUCGCCUGUGACGAAGCGUGAGUGACGGUAAUGGGUAAAGAAGCACCGGCUAACUACGUGCCAGCAGCCGCGGUGAUACGUAGGGUGCGAGCGUUGUCCGGAUUUAUUGGGCGUAAAGGGCUCGUAGGUGGUUGAUCGCGUCGGAAGUGUAAUCUUGGGGCUUAACCCUGAGCGUGCUUUCGAUACGGGUUGACUUGAGGAAGGUAGGGGAGAAUGGAAUUCCUGGUGGAGCGGUGGAAUGCGCAGAUAUCAGGAGGAACACCAGUGGCGAAGGCGGUUCUCUGGGCCUUUCCUGACGCUGAGGAGCGAAAGCGUGGGGAGCGAACAGGCUUAGAUACCCUGGUAGUCCACGCUGUAAACGGUGGGUACUAGGUGUGGGGUCCAUUCCACGGGUUCCGUGCCGUAGCUAACGCUUUAAGUACCCCGCCUGGGGAGUACGGCCGCAAGGCUAAAACUCAAAGGAAUUGACGGGGCCCCGCACAAGCGGCGGAGCAUGCGGAUUAAUUCGAUGCAACGCGUAGAACCUUACCUGGGUUUGACAUGGAUCGGGAGCGCUCAGAGAUGGGUGUGCCUCUUUUGGGGUCGGUUCACAGGUGGUGCAUGGCUGUCGUCAGCUCGUGUCGUGAGAUGUUGGGUUAAGUCCCGCAACGAGCGCAACCCUUGUUCACUGUUGCCAGCACGUUAUGGUGGGGACUCAGUGGAGACCGCCGGGGUCAAUUCGGAGGAAGGUGGGGAUGACGUCAAGUCAUCAUGCCCCUUAUGUCCAGGGCUUCACGCAUGCUACAAUGGCUGGUACAGAGAGUGGCGAGCCUGUGAGGGUGAGCGAAUCUCGGAAAGCCGGUCUCAGUUCGGAUUGGGGUCUGCAACUCGACCUCAUGAAGUCGGAGUCGCUAGUAAUCGCAGAUCAGCAACGCUGCGGUGAAUACGUUCCCGGG